RNAcentral lists this ribosomal RNA (1474 nucleotides) under uncultured Verrucomicrobiota bacterium. RNAcentral describes it as "bacterial SSU rRNA". It matches the Rfam family "Bacterial small subunit ribosomal RNA". The record is from RNAcentral. Lineage: Bacteria; Pseudomonadati; Verrucomicrobiota.
UGGCGGCGUGGUUAAGACAUGCAAGUCGAGCGAUAGGUUUCCUUCGGGAGGCUGAAAAGCGGCAAACGGGUGAGUAACACGUAAGCAACCUGCCUCUUAGUGGGGAAUAGCCUACCGAAAGGUGGAUUAAUGCCCCAUGUGGCUUCUUCUCACAUGAGGAGGAUGCCAAAGCUUGUAAUGGCGCUAAGAGAGGGGCUUGCGGCCUAUCAGCUAGUUGGCGGGGGUAAUGGCCCACCAAGGCGAAGACGGGUAGCCGGUCUGAGAGGAUGGUCGGCCACACUGGAACUGAGACACGGUCCAGACAUCUACGGAUGGCAGCAGUUUCGAAUUAUUCACAAUGGACGAAAGUCUGAUGGUGCGACGCCGCGUGGAGGAUGAAGGUCUUCGGAUUGUAAACUCCUGUCAUUGGGGAGCAAAAUCGAGGUUCAUAGUCUCGCUUGAGUUAACUCAAAGAGGAAGUAGUGGCAAACUCUGUGCCAGCAGCCGCGGUAAUACAGAGACUACGAACGUUACUCGGAUUUACUGGGCGUAAAGGGUGCGCAGGCGGCGAGGUGUGUCGGGUGUGAAAGACUGGAGCUCAACUCCAGCACUGCGCUCGAAACUGUCUUGCUAGAGUCUCGGAGAGGUAAGUGGAAUUUCAGGUGUAGCAGUGAAAUGCGUAGAUAUCUGAAGGAACACCAAAGGCGAAGGCAGCUUACUGGAAGAGUACUGACGCUCAGGCACGAAAGCGUGGGGAGCAAAAGGGAUUAGAUACCCCUGUAGUCCACGCCCUAAACAUUGUACACUAGGUCUUGGGACAUUCGACCGUUUCAGGAUUCAAGCUAACGCAAUAAGUGUACCGCCUGAGGACUACGGCCGCAAGGCUAAAACUCAAAGGAAUUGACGGGGGCCCGCACAAGCGGUGGAGCAUGUGGCUUAAUUCGAUGCUACGCGAAGAACCUUACCUAGGUUUGACAUGUGGGAGACAGGGUGUGAAAGCACCUCUUCCUUCGGGACUGCCACACAGGUGCUGCAUGGCUGUCGUCAGCUCGUGUCGUGAGAUGUUCGGUUAAGUCCGGCAACGAGCGCAACCCUCGUCCUUAAUUGCCAGCGGGUCAUGCCGGGGACUUUAAGGAGACAAGCUCUCUUUGAGAGUGGGAAGGUGGGGAUGACGUUAAGUCAGCAUGGCCCUUACGCCUGGGGCUGCACACGUGCUACAAUGCUCGGUACAAUGGGGUGCAAUGUCGCGAGGCGGAGCCGAUCCAAAAAACCGAGCCCAGUUCAGAUUGAAGUCUGCAAUUCGACUUCAUGAAGCCGGAAUCGCUAGUAAUGGUACAUCAGCUACGGUACCGUGAAUACGUUCCCGGGCCUUGUACACACCGCCCGUCAAGUCAUGAAAGCCGGUUUUACCCAAAGUACGCUUUGCUAACCGCAAGGAGGCAGCGUCCUAAGGUAUGGUUGGUGAUUGGGACUAAGUCGUAACAAGGUAACCGUA